GCUCUCAGGCUUCUCUCUGCUCAUGUCUUCCACAAGAUUCAUGAAAUAUAGCGAAAUAUUCAGCAUGACGGUGAUGACGGUUUUGUCCUGAAUAUCUUCGAUUGUCCUCGAUCAAUUCGAUGACAGGGGGGGUUUAAGGUAUUUUUAAUCAAGAUUGCAAUCAUUCAUUGAUGCAACAAAGUGUAUAAUUAUUCGCGAUUGGGCGCCAGUAAUCGCACUAUCGAAAUUUCAGUUUCGUUUCGGGUAGAUUCUUUUUGUGGAUUAGGGAACUUUUUAUAUAUAUAUUUUUUUCCUUUCACGGUUUCAAAUUGUGCAAAAAUCAGAAGAAUCUCGGUUAUUGUUCUGCGUUGAGCGUUGGAGAAAAAACUUCUUCCACUGUGGAUAUGUUAUCAGUCGCGUGCCGCUCUUUGUCUCAAGGAUCUCUCGUGUAACUAACCUCGCAUCCUUUAAGAUAUGAGUCACAGAGCUAAGAAAAUCUUUAAAUAGAUUAAAGACUCUUUAAACACCAUUAAAAAAAAGGUAUGAGUAAUGCGUCGCGACAAUUGUUAAAACCACCCAGUCUGAAAUCAGAAGUUACUUAUAAUUGCAAUUACUCGGGUAAGUUUGUAUAAUGGCGAGCGAUUUGUCGAGCGGUUGCACGGAGACGAUUGACAUUCUCGACGACGAGAAAGAAGAAGGCGAGAUUUCGUUGGAAGACGUCAGUUCGUCCGAGGAAGGCGGAGUGGGUCACUUGACUAGCAGCUACGUCAUCAGCAGGAGGCGAUCAUGUGCCAGCUGCAAGUCGACGUGGGGCGAGUGCGCGUCUUGGUGUACCGCGGCGUACCGCUCUAAGAGUCAAAGCAAAAGAGAAGUCAAUCUUAUUUUACAAGAUCCACUUAAAGGAAAGGAAAACCGCCGUCGUAUCAAAGAGGCUGGAUGUGCAAUAACGAAACACGUGUCGACGUUACAAGAAAAAAUCGACGACCUAGUGCCAAUCUCGAGUGACAGCGAUAUGGAAAUUGUUGGUCUCACCGAUACGUCCAAUCGAUCAAAGCCCAAAGUAAAAAAGAAAAGGAAAAAGGAUUACGAUGUCCUUACGUCGUCUAUCGACGAUUUAAUUUCUCCAACCUCUGUAGAUUUGCCUAUAAUGGACUCUGCUGCGCUGAAAACGCAUUAUAGGGAAUCAAGUCCGGUUCACAGAAGCGCCAGAUCGAGAGUAAUUUCGAAAUCACCGGUGCGAAGAUACAGAUCUCCCGUGAGAGCUCGAUCGCCCGUUUAUCGAUCCUCUCAUUCUCCAUUGAACUAUUCAAAAUCACCGAUAGUGCGGAGAUCUCCGCGGAGGCUCAGGUCGCCGAAACAGAGUUCACCGUAUCGCUCGUCUGUGAGAACAAUCUCGAGGAAACCACCAAGACCAGACUCACCGCCGUCCACUCGUUUCCACACCGACAGACAUGGUGAAGUAACACGGUUACUGAAGAAGGUGAAACGUUUAGAUUCCGUAGGUGCCCAUGCAUUAGAAUCGAACGUCAGUCGAAGUAAGGAGCAUCAGUCUUCGUCGUUGAAAGAUAAAAUAUUCAACAUGUUGAAGAAAGUACCCGAGAACAAGGAUGACGUAGCGCAUCUCAAGAAGAAAUCAAAAGUUAAAAGCGACGCUGAUGACGAGGAAGAUCUGGCGUUACUCAGGCAGAAGGCAUUGGAGACGAAGCAGAAGAAGCCCAGCAAAUUGGAUUGCCCGGCGGAAUCGGAGAAGAAGCAAGUCGCGAAGGACGAUGACCAGGACGUGGAGGCCCUGCAUUUGCGUAUGAUCGCACUUCGCUCGGCAGUCAUGAAGAAACACCAGGAGAGAGUUCAACGUGGCAUCAGAGCAAUCAAGAGAAGAUCCAUUCGCAGCGAGAGUCCAUUCAGUCAGAGUUUCCUCGAUGAUAUACCUGUACCCGGGGACGAGCUGCUGAAGCUUGCGUCACCCCCGGGCACGCCUCCGGAUACACCAGACUUGGACAGCGAUCAUACAGAGGACAUGGAGCUUGAUACAGAUAUCGAGAGGGAAAAGGAAAAAUUGCCGUAUUCGCCAACCGAUAGAAUCACGUCGGAAAUGCCGGUGGACACGGCGUUGCUCGGCAUCGAGCCGUCCGACGUGUCGUUCAUCAACGUAAAUGAAACGAACAGUCCGGUUUUCGACGACGAAGAAAAGCGGAACGAGCAAAUGUCGCUGUCGACCGGCGUCCCACCGUAUUACAAUAAUACUUACUUGCUUCACAGUUACGAACUUCCGCAGAACUGUGCGUACUCACCGUCGCAGCCUAACAUUUUCCACUCGGACCUGAACAAUGUCCAGAACCAGCUCAGGGAUUAUCAUAGCGACAAUGUCGAGUGCGAUUUGUUGGACGGUAUUUGUUGCCAGAGCGGAAGCUAUUUUAAUACGAAUACCGUGCCGAUGCGGUCCGAGGAGUCCGAUGCGGCGCUUGCUCUUCCAGCGACCAGUGAUACUUUGGCUUCUUGCAAUCUUCCAAAUGACGAUCCUUUACAAGUGAAACAGAGAUCUAACAAUGGCGUUCUGCUUGUGAAUAUGUCCUCGAUACUCGGAGAUAAGUAUUCUUAUGAAAGGCGAAUGAAUUCCGAAUAUUCUGGCAUAGAUACUGCGGGAACGUUUACUGAGCCGGUAUCGCCGAACGGGUCGAUGGUAACGAUCGAUGAUAUUGCCGAGACGGAAGGAGAAUUGAAUUUUGCUGAUGACGAUAGAAACUCGUCUACUGGAAACAUUCCAAAAGAAGUGACGCCGUGUCAAGUGAAAAAUGGAACGACUUUGGAAGCGAACAAGGAGGAGCCUCUGUACAUGCAGGGUGUUCCUGAUGUCACCGACCACUCAAAUAAGAUACCUACGUUGAUCAACAGAACACUGGUUCCUGCGUCGAUCUUAAAAUCGAAUAAGAAGCUUCAGCAACUACGGUUACCGAAGAAGCGCGAGGUGCAUCCGACUUUCAAGAGCGCCGAGAUGCAACCAGUGAUUGUGGAUACGAAUGCCAAGUGCGACAGCACGUUCAAACCUAUAAAAUUGCAAACGCCGAAAAAACCUACGCCUGUGCUAACGGCGCCCACGAUAUUCCACAAUCUUAAUGAAAAUUCGGAGAAUGACACGUUGGAAAAUCGAGAUAACGCUCCAUCAUCGAAAACUGAAACGACUUCCAUUGAUAAUGCAUUGAUAGUGCCGGAUAAUGACGCCGCUUCGACACGUAAAAAGCGGAAACAUAUCAAAAAGAACACGCAAAAGAAGCGCAAGAGUGUCAGCUCUGCACAAUCGCUUGCAGAGAAACGAGCUAACUCGUGUCGAACAAACGAAGGUAUAAAUAUAGAUGUAAAUACUGUGAUCACUUCGAAACAACAAACUACCGAGCAAAACAAGAAUAACGAUGAAAACAGGGCACAAUCGUUUGUCGACAACAGAGAAUCCUCCAACUUGCAAAAUGCUAGGUCCCCAAGUACCCAAGAAUCCUUGUCAGAUAAUUCCAAUAGUGUUACAGUGGAAAACAAAAAUUCAAAUAAGAACGAUCGAAAUAUGUCCUCAGAAAAGGAAGAAAGGACAAAGCAAGCAGUGUUGUCAACACCUACCAAAUGUUUGGAAGAGAUAAACACGAAAUCUUAUCCGCAUACAAAUAUUGUAUCUAAUAAUCUUCUCGACUCUGGUACACUUAAUACUAGCGAAACAGCAAAAGACAACGCUACUAGAAGAGAGAGCAUCGACGAAGACGAGGAUGAGCUGCGAGCUAGCUUGCUAGCUUCGUUGAAACGACCAAAAACAACGGACACGAAUAGUAAUAGUAAUUCAGCCGCAUCAGUUGCUACAGUUCAGACAACUACACAAAAAAUGUUGGCAACUGCACCAGUGACAGCUAACAUAACUUGUACGACGGGCAGUAGUAAUGCUCCGCUAGUGUCAAAAUUAAAUUCAUCUGAAGUUGGUGAGAGAAAUACUGUUGUAACAGCGAUCAGUGAUCACAAGAAAAGAGUCAGUAGCGGGACGACAACGAACCUACCUACGAAGAAGAUGAAAAAAAUACCUAUUCCAGCAAGUACGAAAGUAGUAAACAAUGCUAAAAAGUAUCAGAACAUGAUAGUGCAAAGAAAGUUAAAUUUACGAAAGCUGGACAAUGCGUGCAACAGCGCGAAACCAAGCGAGAACGUAUGGUCUAACGUUAUUAACGCGUCGAAAACGUUGCACGCAUCCGACACUCGGCGAUUUGUGAUAAAUCUGGGCUCGGACACGGACAGCGAGUCCGAGACUGAAAAGUGUCAAUCUGUCGUAUCCGCAGUGGAGAAGCCUCAACCGGAGGUGAGCGUCGACUUCGAGAAGAGCGUACAAAAGUUCCUGCGUGACAUGAGAAAGGAACAAGAGCAAUCCGUGGCCGUGGCCGUGGCCGUGGUCAAGUCCGCCUCGUCAACCCCGCAGGUUCCCGUUUUGUCGCCCCCGGCAAAACGGGACGCGCCACCAACGACACAAACGGAUCCGAAUAAGGGUUCAUCUAAUAUGCACACACCAUUGGCCGUGAGACAUCUUCCCGCGUCGCAGCAAGAAGAAUACCAUCGUUUAAAGCAGCAGAUCUUGGAGCGCGAAAAAUUAAAGUUGCAAAGAAAAAUCGCGGAUAACGGUAGUAGUAGUAAUAAAUUACUGGAUAAAGGGGCAGUGAGUUUGCCGGCGAAAUCUCUGCCACCGGGCGAGAAGAAAAGCAUGAAUGUUAAACAGUCGAGUCAAGUGAAGUCGAGAGAAUUGGAGGGAGAUUCCCAAAAAUUGCCGAGCCAGAUCAAAAAGAAAAAUAUCAAUGUGGCAACGAGUACAUCGGUAUUAAAUGUACCUCGCAUAUCCGCUAGCAAACAUCACUCGGCGAAUGUCGCUAAGCACACCUUGGCCAGUUCCACGCAGGCUAAUCUGCAGAUCAAGGGAAUUAAGAGAACCAUAUCGAACAAUCUCAGUAUUCGAAUUACCAACGAGAUCGCUCCGAAUCACGCGAGUACAGGGAACAGAACGGCUGACAAUUUAAUCGAGAAGCAAUCCACGAACGACAAGCAACAGCACAGACCUGCUCUGAGGGCAUUAUCCAAAGAAGAAAUAAAUCGCAAACACGUUCAAAUACAGGUAAAGUCGGACACAAUCGGACGGGUCGUUACCAUAAACGACAAACCAUCCUUGCAACACGAUACGACGAAUGGCAAUCAAAGUGAGAAGCCAAUCGAUAAUCACGAUGUCAGCGUUGAGAUACUGGAAGAAAGAAGCAAGAACAACGAGAAUAACAACAACAGCACCUCGUUCUCCAACAACUCUACGAUAAUACUUGCAAAUGGGCGCGCGAAUGCGAGCAAGCAAGAGCUUGGAGAUGCUUCGAUGGAAACCACAAUGUCGCGUUCUCAAUACGAAGCGGAAAUGAAUCGUAAUAUUUCGUCAUUACCACCUGCAGAAAAUAGUGAUAGUAACAACGCUUCUCGUUGUAAGUCUGAUGUUGACGAUAAUAAAAGUAAUACGGAUGAUGUUUGGGAUCUACUUAAAAGGAACGUUAAAGUGGAAUUGGAUUCUCUGGUAAAUCUUUCGGAGGCAGAACAACAACGAUAUUUGAGAGAUACCGAACACAAAUUAGUCGCAAAACGGUAUACUGUAUUAGAUCAUUUAGCGGAGAUGUCAGGGAAUCUUCGUCAGUGGGAUAUGGAAAAGGAUCUGCAAAACAGUUUAGCUGCCGAAGUGAAGAAACUCAAGGAACAAUUGAAGAUGGCCGAAGAAAGGUUACAAGUACAACGCAAUCGUGUCAGCGGCAUGGGUCCAAAGGUGUCGGUUGCGCGGCAGAAGAUUAAUGCCGGACGUCGCGAGUGUUUCAGAUUAUCGAAGAUUUGUUCAACCCUAGGUAACCGACUCAUGGGAAAAAGUUACAAGUUGCCGGAGGCGGGGGGUCAACUUUUGAGUGAUAAGCUGAAAGAAGUCGCUAAUCAUACUCGCCAGUUUUCUAAGAAGAAGCGAAUUCAGUCUAGUGAUGCGUCUGAAAGUUCUGGUUCAUCGGAAAAUGCAGAAUUGUCUACAAUCACGCGCGCUAAAGAGGAUUUGUCGUCGCAAGAGCAGCUAAGGAGUGACACUGAUGCAGCUGAUACGGUCGAUGUGGCGGGAUCAAAGAGCAAUACUGCUUGUUUAAAACCGUCUAACGACAGUGACAACUUCUUAACGUUGGAACCCUCGUUAGAUAGUCCGCAAAUAAUUCCAAAUCAAAUAACGAAAGCCAAGAAAAAAGAUGCGCUAGUGAAUGUAUCGGAGUCUCGUGACAAUGAACAAAUUACACCUCCUAAUCAACAUAACAUAUUGCUUUCUGUACCAAAGCUAACUAGCACUCCUAUAAGACCAAAUAGUGAACAUGAAAUAGAAAAAAGCACAGAUAUUUCUGAUCCCGCCACGUCUUCAUCGCCAAAAUCGUUAGCGACAAAUCUGUUUUCAUGUAAAGACGAUGAACAACGAAAUGAUAAGGAAACGUCAUCGCAGCCGUCAACUACAGUAGCGAACGCAACGACGACGACGACGACGACGACGACGACGAUGACGACGAUGACGACAACGGGAAUGACGCAGACGAGGACGAUUACACCUUAUAUAUCGAUACUAACGCAUUUAAAGACACCAAGGAAUACGAAUCCCCAUGGAAUUCUUUGUCCCUACGAAAUAAUGGGCAUUUGCAGAGAUGAAGAUUGCCAAUUCAUUCAUCAGUCAAAGAACGAAACUUGAAACAGCAAUACAUUACCACUGAACGUACUCAACAUAACAUACAUAGAGAGGAGAAAUUAUCAAGUUUUAACGUAAAAUAUUAAAAUACGUAAGAUUUUGUUUUCAACGUGAUUUUGUUACUUAGUUGUUAGGAAAUUACCAGGGAAUACAUACAAAUACAUAUAUAUAUAGAUAUAUAUAUAUCUCUCUGGAAUCACGUUUUUAUAUGAGCAGAGGCAACACCUGAAGAUGGUAAGUCUUCAUCCAUGGCAGGCUUGUGCACAAUUCUGAAAUUAUCAUUUUAUUUUGUAAAAAGUCGUAUGCAUAUUACGUGGAAGAUCCUUUUUUCAAAACUCGUGUUACUGCGAACGUCGACGCUACUACGUGCGCGUGAGAAAGGAGGAGCUUUAAGCGGUAUUCUAUCAAGAGUUCAAAGAAAAUUUCUACGAGUGUAUAUUUUUUAUAAUUGUAAGAAAAAAAAGUGUCAUAAACUGCAAGCAAUUAGUGUGGUAAGGAUAGAAGAAAAGUUUGUUGACCACACUAAGAAGAACUAAGACUUGAAAGAAGAUAGUUCAGCAAUUCAUGGAUCGCCAUUGGACAUUUCCAUCAGUUGCUUUUUCUUCGUACUUCGAUAUAAGUUACCUCAUAUUAAUAUAUAUCUUGUACCUGUAAAAUAAAAAUUGAAUAUUUUUUUCA
Molecule: unclassified non-coding RNA, 7402 nt
Filed under: Ooceraea biroi (clonal raider ant)
Lineage: Eukaryota; Metazoa; Arthropoda; Insecta; Hymenoptera; Formicidae
Description: extracellular matrix-binding protein ebh, transcript variant X15
Source: RNAcentral